ACUAACAGGAUUCCCCUAGUAACUGCGAGUGAAGCGGGAAAAGCUCAAAUUUAAAAUCUGGCGGUCUUUGGCCGUCCGAGUUGUAAUCUAGAGAAGUAAUGCCCGUGCUGGACCGUGUAUAAGUCUCCUGGGAUGGGGCGUCAUAGAGGGUGAGAAUCCCGUCUUUGACACGGACUACCAGUGCAUUGUGGUAUGCUCUCAAAGAGUCGAGUUGUUUGGGAAUGCAGCUCAAAAUGGGUGGUAAAUUCCAUCUAAAGCUAAAUAUUGGCGAGAGACCGAUAGCGAACAAGUACCGUGAGGGAAAGAUGAAAAGAACUUUGGAAAGAGAGUUAAACAGUACGUGAAAUUGCUGAAAGGGAAACGCUUGAAGUCAGUCGCGUUGGCCGGGAAUCAGCCUUGCUUUUGCAUGGUGUACUUUCUGGUCGACGGGUCAGCAUCAAUUUUGAUCACUGGAAAAGGCUCAAGGGAAUGUGGCAGCUUCGGCUGUGUUAUAGCCCCUGUUCACAUACAGUGGUUGGGAUUGAGGAACUCAGCACGCCGCAAGGCCGGGUUUCGACCACGUUCGUGCUUAGGAUGCUGGCAUAAUGGCUUUAAGCGACCCGUCUUGAAACACGGACCAAGGAGUCUAACAUGCCUGCGAGUAUUUGGGUGGAAAACCCAGGUGCGCAAUGAAAGUGAAAGUUGAGAUCCCUGUCGUGGGGAGCAUCGACGCCCGGACCAGAACUUUUGGGACGGAUCCGCGGUGGAGCAUGUAUGUUGGGACCCGAAAGAUGGUGAACUAUGCCUGAAUAGGGUGAAGCCAGAGGAAACUCUGGUGGAGGCUCGUAGCGAUUCUGACGUGCAAAUCGAUCGUCAAAUUUGGGUAUAGG
RNAcentral lists this ribosomal RNA (869 nucleotides) under Agaricus sp. ZRL2012618. Its description in RNAcentral is "eukaryotic LSU rRNA". It matches the Rfam family "Eukaryotic large subunit ribosomal RNA", at positions 64 to 921 of the family's 3401-position model. Lineage: Eukaryota; Fungi; Basidiomycota; Agaricomycetes; Agaricales; Agaricaceae. The record is from RNAcentral.